AGUAGGUAGUUUAACCUUCGGGGGGACGCUUACCACUUUGUGGUUCAUGACUGGGGUGAAGUCGUAACAAGGUAGCGCUAGGGGAACCUGGCGCUGGAUCACCUCCUUAWACGAUGAU
This 118-nucleotide ribosomal RNA is filed under the name Vibrio parahaemolyticus. Its description in RNAcentral is "partial 16S ribosomal RNA". It matches the Rfam family "Bacterial small subunit ribosomal RNA", at positions 1425 to 1533 of the family's 1533-position model. Lineage: Bacteria; Pseudomonadati; Pseudomonadota; Gammaproteobacteria; Vibrionales; Vibrionaceae. The record is from RNAcentral.